GCACCCGUAGCUCAAUUGGCAGAGCAGCUGACUCUUAAUCAGCGGGUUGAAGGUUCAAGUCCUUCCGGGUGUACCA
RNAcentral lists this transfer RNA (76 nucleotides) under Verrucomicrobiota bacterium. Its description in RNAcentral is "Verrucomicrobia bacterium (hot springs metagenome) tRNA-Lys". It matches the Rfam family "tRNA". Rfam says of the family: Transfer RNA (tRNA) molecules are approximately 80 nucleotides in length. Their secondary structure includes four short double-helical elements and three loops (D, anti-codon, and T loops). The record is from RNAcentral. RNAcentral also lists the same sequence under 1 other name. Lineage: Bacteria; Pseudomonadati; Verrucomicrobiota.